This 802-nucleotide ribosomal RNA is filed under the name uncultured bacterium. RNAcentral's name for it is "bacterial SSU rRNA". It matches the Rfam family "Bacterial small subunit ribosomal RNA", at positions 62 to 864 of the family's 1533-position model. The record is from RNAcentral.
UCGACGGAUCCGGGAGCAUCCCGGGUUAGUGGCGGACGGGUGAGGAAUGCGUCGGAAUCUACCCUAUGGUGGGGGAUAACACAGGGAAACUUGUGCUAAUACCGCAUAAUGUCGAGAGACCAAAGCAGGGGACCGCAAGGCCUUGCGCGAUAGGAUGAGCCGACGCCCGAUUAGCUAGUUGGUAGGGUAAAGGCCUACCAAGGCGACGAUCGGUAGCUGGUCUGAGAGGAUGAUCAGCCACACUGGGACUGAGACACGGCCCAGACUCCUACGGGAGGCAGCAGUGGGGAAUAUUGGACAAUGGGCGCAAGCCUGAUCCAGCAAUGCCGCGUGUGUGAAGAAGGCCUGCGGGUUGUAAAGCACUUUUGUUCGGGAAGAAAUCAUGCCGACUAAUACUUGGUAUGGAUGACGGUACCGGAAGAAUAAGCACCGGCUAACUUCGUGCCAGCAGCCGCGGUAAUACGAAGGGUGCAAGCGUUAAUCGGAAUUACUGGGCGUAAAGGGUGCGUAGGCGGCUUUUUAAGUCGGAUGUGAAAUCCCCGGGCUUAACCUGGGAAUGGCAUACGAUACUGGGGAGCUAGAGUUUGGGAGAGGGUGGUGGAAUUCCCGGUGUAGCGGUGAAAUGCGUAGAGAUCGGGAGGAACAUCAGUGGCGAAGGCGGCCACCUGGCCUAAAACUGACGCUGAGGCACGAAAGCGUGGGGAGCAAACAGGAUUAGAUACCCUGGUAGUCCACGCCCUAAACGAUGAGAACUGGACGUUGGGAGGAAUUUGCCUCUUAGUGUCGAAGCUAACGCGUGAAG